GUCUAUGGUCAUACCACCCUAAAUGUGCCUGAUCUUGUCUGAUCUUGGAAGCUAAGCAGGGUGGGGCCUGGUUAGUACAUGGAUGAGAGAAUUGCUUUGUGAUAAGUCAAUUGAGGGUA
Molecule: ribosomal RNA, 119 nt
Filed under: Microcebus murinus (gray mouse lemur)
Lineage: Eukaryota; Metazoa; Chordata; Mammalia; Primates; Cheirogaleidae
Source: RNAcentral